GGGACAGAUCCUUCCUGGAGCCCAUGGAGACAGCAUUGACUUCUUAAUAUCUUGGUUUUGGACUUGUGGCUUCCAGAACUCCAUGUGGAAAAGCAGCAG
Molecule: non-coding RNA, 99 nt
Organism: Peromyscus maniculatus bairdii (prairie deer mouse)
Lineage: Eukaryota; Metazoa; Chordata; Mammalia; Rodentia; Cricetidae
Source: RefSeq, a predicted model, not a curated record